AGAGAGAGACAUGCGCGCAUAUCAAUAAGCGGAGGAAAAGAAACUAACAAGGAUUCCCUUAGUAACGGCGAGUGAAGCGGGAAGAGCUCAAAUUUGAAAUCUUCAAGGUUUUACCUUGACGAAUUGUAGUUUAAAGAAGUGUUUUCUGUUGAAGUUUUGGUAAAAGUUCUUUGGAAUAGGACAUCAUAGAGGGUGAGAAUCCCGUAUUUGACCAUUAUUUUCAGCUGUGUGAUACACUUUCAAAGAGUCGGAUUGUUUGGGAAUGCAGUCCAAAAUGGGUGGUAAAUUUCAUCUAAAGCUAAAUAUUGGCGAGAGACCGAUAGCGAACAAGUACCGUGAGGGAAAGAUGAAAAGAACUUUGAAAAGAGAGUUAAACAGUACGUGAAAUUGUCAAAAGGGAAGCGUUUGACACCAGUGUUGUUUUCUCGAAAAUCAAUUAAAAAAAGUUGGAUUUUGUGUUGUAUUGACCUUAACAGCUUUCUGCACUCUUUUCCUGCUUUUUUUAAUGCACUUUUCGUUUAACAAGUCAACAUCAAUUUCUUUUGUUGUAAAAGGGUCAUUGGAAGGUGGCUUUCUUUUCGGAGAAAGUGUUUAUAGCCUUUGGCCUCUGCAAUCGGAGAGAUUGAGGUCUGCAGCGUAGAUCCUUCGGGGUUAGAUACAUUUGUGCUAAGUUAUAGCCUUUCAUAGACAACUUGUUGACUAUGAUCAGUCAUGUAGCUUACUCGCUUAUGCUAUUUUACCUACGCUUAGGAUGUUGAUAUCCGCUCUCACUG
This 773-nucleotide ribosomal RNA is filed under the name uncultured Neocallimastigales. RNAcentral describes it as "partial large subunit ribosomal RNA". It matches the Rfam family "Eukaryotic large subunit ribosomal RNA", at positions 23 to 620 of the family's 3401-position model. Lineage: Eukaryota; Fungi; Neocallimastigomycota; Neocallimastigomycetes; Neocallimastigales. The record is from RNAcentral.